This 1168-nucleotide ribosomal RNA is filed under the name Bacillus sp. TJTB5. Its description in RNAcentral is "bacterial SSU rRNA". It matches the Rfam family "Bacterial small subunit ribosomal RNA", at positions 145 to 1290 of the family's 1533-position model. The record is from RNAcentral. Lineage: Bacteria; Bacillati; Bacillota; Bacilli; Caryophanales; Bacillaceae.
AACUCCGGGAAACCGGGGCUAAUACCGGAUAACCCGUUCCACCUCAGGUGGAGCGGUAAAAGAUGGCCUCUGGCUAUCACUUACAGAUGGGCCCGCGGCGCAUUAGCUAGUUGGUAAGGUAACGGCUUACCAAGGCGACGAUGCGUAGCCGACCUGAGAGGGUGAUCGGCCACACUGGGACUGAGACACGGCCCAGACUCCUACGGGAGGCAGCAGUAGGGAAUCUUCCGCAAUGGACGAAAGUCUGACGGAGCAACGCCGCGUGAGUGAUGAAGGUGUUCGGAUCGUAAAGCUCUGUUGUUAGGGAAGAACAAGUGCCGUUUGAAUAAGGCGGCACCUUGGACGGUACCUAACCAGAAAGCCACGGCUAACUACGUGCCAGCAGCCGCGGUAAUACGUAGGUGGCAAGCGUUGUCCGGAAUUAUUGGGCGUAAAGCGCGCGCAGGCGGUCUCUUAAGUCUGAUGUGAAAGCCCACGGCUCAACCGUGGAGGGUCAUUGGAAACUGGGAGACUUGAGUACAGAAGAGGAGAGUGGAAAUUCCACGUGUAGCGGUGAAAUGCGUAGAUAUGUGGAGGAACACCAGUGGCGAGGCGACUCUCGGUCUGUAACUGACGCUGAGGCGCGAAAGCGUGGGGAGCAAACAGGAUUAGAUACCUGGUAGUCCACGCCGUAAACGAUGAGUGCUAGGUGUUAGGGGUUUCGAUGCCCUUAGUGCCGAAGUUAACACAUUAAGCACUCCGCCUGGGGAGUACGACCGCAAGGUUGAAACUCAAAGGAAUUGACGGGGGCCCGCCACAAAGCAAGUGGAGCAUGUGGAUUUAAGUUCGAAGCAACGCGAAGAACCUUACCAGGUCUUGAAUCCUUUGACCACUCUAGAGAUAGAGCUUUCCCCUUCGGGGGACAAAGUGACAGGUGGUGCAUGGUGUCGUCAGCUCGUGUCGUGAGAUGUUGGGUUAAGUCCCGCAACGAGCGCAACCCUUGAUCUUAGUUGCCAGCAUUCAGUUGGGCACUCUAAGGUGACUGCCGGUGACAAACCGGAGGAAGGUGGGGAUGACGUCAAAUCAUCAUGCCCCUUAUGACCUGGGCUACACACGUGCUACAAUGGAUGGUACAAAGGGCUGCGAAAACCGCGAGGUUGAGCCCAACCCUCCAUAAAAGCCCCCCCCA